RNA transcript from Macrosteles quadrilineatus (aster leafhopper), 2154 nucleotides. It is a transcript of the gene named RNA-binding protein lark-like, with no coding region annotated. The record is from RefSeq and is a predicted model, not a curated record. NCBI's taxonomy places the organism in Eukaryota, Metazoa, Arthropoda, Insecta, Hemiptera, Cicadellidae. The transcript has 10 exons.
CGAAGCCAUUGCUGGGUUGGCUUGUCGCAUGCAAUUUUCUUAUUAUGAACCGAACCUUUAAAAUGUUUUGAUAUUUAUCAUUGUGGUUAGUCUACCUAUUGGUUUACCAUUAUUGUAGCAGGGUGAAGAUGCCGGGCUUCAGUAGUGUUGGCACAUUCAAGAUAUUUGUUGGUAAUUUAUCUGACAAAACAGUUGCAGCUGACAUAAAACCCUUGUUUGAGAAAUAUGGGAAAGUUGUAGAAUGUGAUGUUGUAAAAAACUAUGGAUUUGUGCACAUGGAAAAUGAAGAAAAUGGACGGGAUGCUAUCCAAAACCUCAACGGCUACAUUGUACAUGGAACUGCAAUGAAAGUGGAGGCUGCUACAAGCAGGAAGGGACCUAACACUCCGACGACUAAAAUAUUUGUGGGUAAUCUGUCUGACAACACAAGAGCUCCACAGGUCCGCCUGCUUUUUGCCAAAUAUGGCACAGUUGUGGAAUGUGAUAUUGUACGCAACUACGGCUUUGUGCACAUUGAUUGCACAGACGUAAACAAACUGAUUGAGGAGUUGAAUGGAUCAAUGGUGGAUGGACAGGCGAUGAAGGUUCAGGUGUCCACAAGUAAGGUUCGUCAGAGGCCGGGUAUGGGCAACCCUGAGCAAUGUUACAGGUGUGGCCGAGGAGGACAUUGGUCAAAGGAGUGCCCCAAAACUGGGAUGGGACCAGAUAGGUUCAGGGACAGAAUGUACGGACGGGACCCGUACCCACCUCCCCCACCACCACCUUUCUUGAGAGACCGAAUGCUCAGCGGAGGGUUUGGCAAGGACAGCUACUACGACAGAUACUACGACAGGGCUGGCGGUAGGUACGAUGACAGGGAGUUUGACAGACGUUUCCCCCCUCUCCCUCCACGAGACUUGGGACCAAGAAGAGACUUUCUCCCUCCUCCAUCCAUGUCUCGGCCCCUCGGCAUGCGUGGACCACCUGACUCGUACGACAGAGCCAGCGACUACAUGUUCAGUCGCAGGUCUCCACCGCCAUCUUCAUCUGACAGAUACGGCCAUCCUUAUGACGACUACACAAGAGAUUCUUAUGAUGAUCGCAGUUUCAGGUGUUUGAAACAGCUCACCAACUAGUCACCUGUUAACAUUAAAGCAAACAUAUGCACGCAGUUUUCUCACAUCAACAAUAACGAAAUUUUCCGAUUCGUCUCAGAAUCGGCCUGCGUGGAGGUUCGCCGCGCCGGUACACACCCUAUUAGCUUGCUCGGACCGAUACUGCUCGGUGAACGGUACGGAAACCCGUGACGUGCACUGAAAUCGUCAAGGACGGCCGUUCCAUAGGACUUAGACAUUAAUUUCCAGACAUCUUCACUUUCGUGUUGAUAUUAGAAAUAAGUCAUUGCAUGUUUGUUAUUGAGUUUUAUUGUAUCGAUGUGAGGUAACUGUAUGUUCCCAUCACGAUAUUUUCACUGGAAACACUAUUUUUAGCUAUCGGAUACACGAAAAGCUUUGAUAAAUCCAUGAAAGAAUGUUACAUUUUAUUGGUUUUGAUAUUUUCUCGUAGGUUUAUUGUAAUAAAUGUAGUUUCGUACAAUAGCGAUCCGUGCGGCUUCUUGACUCAGAGUCGUUUUCGGACAUAUUGUAUGUGUUGUUUUAAAAUAAGCUUUUAUGUGUAACCGAGCAAAUGUUUGCUUUUAUUGUCUUAAUUAAAUAAAUAAACAGACAACAGUUGUCGCGUUGUGAUUUUUCCUUUCCGCCGUUCCGAUGUCGGAUUUUCCGAUAUUUACAACAUCCGGCCGCAGAUGUUCUCCUCUGACCGAAGACUUUCCGGACGGAUAUCAUCGGCUGAGGUAGGCUAUGCAAUACCAAACUUGAAAUGACCUUACCCAUUUAUUGAACAUUUCAUCAUUCUGGUACACAAUAGAAAAUAUAAACAAGAUUUAAGAUUUACACAUUUAUAUAAUGUGUAACGUAUUGGUUGGUAAUACAGAUUAUUAGUCUAAAUUGAAAAGAUCUAGCAACAUUUAUUUCAGGUUCAAGUCGUAAUUUUACUUCACCCUCUAUUUGAGAAAAUGUCAUUGUAUGUAUUACAUGUAAUGUGUUUUUAAUGUUAAGGAUCUUUUUACUUUUUUAGUUGGACCAGAGAUGUAAAAUUAAAAAGUUAUAUUUUUUU